Hyla sarda is the source of this 1646-nucleotide long non-coding RNA. RefSeq lists it as uncharacterized. The transcript has 3 exons. The record is from RefSeq and is a predicted model, not a curated record. Lineage: Eukaryota; Metazoa; Chordata; Amphibia; Anura; Hylidae.
AACACGCGCGCAGCUAGCGCAUCAUUCAGACACGCAGCUGCUCCCAGAUCUCCAUUCACAGCCCCGGACGGCAGAGUUCCUGAACACGUUCUCCCUAGGCCGGACGCCUCCCCGUGCCAGCCCAGGAUACUUACAGCCUACCGGAAAACCACUCACCUAGGCUACGAUCCAGACCGGCAAUACAAACAGCUCUUAUCACCUACAGGACAUCGCGGUCUGCCGAAAUCGCUACCUGUGAACAUCAUUGCUUGCCUGGAUCUCUAACAGCCGAGAAGAAGGGACCAGCUGCCAAUCUGGAUAACUUCCUCUCUGUUUAAAAAUAUUGUUCCAAGCUAUGGCUGCUAUUUCAAAUGAAUGGAAAGAAGCUCCGGCUGGCUUUAAACACUGCACAGUAGAGGAGGGACUUUAAUGUAUCCACCGGGUAUGCAACAAGUCCCCCUCAUUUGCUUCCAUGGCACCGCUUCUUCUUCACAGAAGCCGAGGCAAGUGCUCUCUUUCACCCAAAGUGCAAGAAAAAGUGCAAACAUGUCACACUAAAAAAAAGUGCACAAAGGAAGCGGUCUAUCGCUAAGUCCUUCUCCAACCGGAGAGAGGCCCCCCAACAAACCUACCCUUCACCUCCGGGCCAAAAGGCACCUGCAAGGAUCCAGGUUCGAUGCCCUUUUUCGUCGAAGUUACUAAGGGACCGCAAAUGCACCUGGCUUCAACCUAGGCAUUAACCAAGGUAUCAGCCGAGGAGCCGUAUACUGAAGCCAAGAUGCCCAGGGGUUGGAGGAAGGUGAGGAACCAAAUGGCCGCACACCUCCCCUAGAUCGCCAGGAGGGACACCCAGAAGGACUACCGCAUCCUGAGAAAUCCUGUGUACAAACAAAAACACGCAAAGUUUCACAAAAAUAAUAAAUAAGUCGAUGAUUGCAGAUAUACUGCCCGGCCGGAUCUAUAAAAAUUUUCCUGAUUCUAGCCAGAAGGCCGGGAUACCACGGGUGAGUGCCAAAGGUGAAGAGUAUAUGGUGCAGUGCGUUCACUCAGUGAGCUAUAACACUCAGUGAGUUUCAGCACCUCAGGGUCACCACUCCCCGAGGAACAAAAGUACCUCGGUCUACACCCCCCAACCUCAUGGCGAGACCCGGAGUAAACAGGUCACAUCAGGGCAGCCGUUGAGCUGGUGUUGUGGCACCAGCCCCGGAAUGCCCCAGUACACCAGCUCCUCCAUGCAGCAUCCAUCCUACAUCAAUGGCAGAGACUAGACCACUAAUAAGAACAGAUACUACACUUGAUCUUAGCCAAAGCAAAGAGGAUAGAAUCAUUAUACAAUACCAUGGAAGUAAGACAAUGCAUUGAGGGUCACAUUCCUAUGUUCCACAUUCAUGAUGGUUCUUUUUGAAUGUUUUUGCAUCUCGGAAAGAAAAAAAAAACUAAACAAAACAAAACAAAUUGCCAGUCAUUUAUGGGAAACAGAGGGUCGGUAAUUCCAAUGAGAAAAGGAGAAUAUAAUCCAAUGUUGCAGCUGCCUAGCAACCGAAUAAUGACAAACACGCAAAACAAUUACCAACAUAACAAUUAGUAAGAACAGGAAAUGUGGUUAAAUUGCAUAUUAUCAUUUUCAUUCAACAUAACAGUAAUUAAAUUUCUUCUAGCAAAGUUGU